GUGAGGAAUAUUGCGCAAUGGAGGCAACUCUGACGCAGCCAUGCCGCGUGCAGGAAGAAGGCGCUACGCGUUGUAAACUGCUUUUAACCGGGAAGAAACCCCAGGACGUGUCCUGGGUUGACGGUACCGGAGGAAUAAGCACCGGCUAACUUCGUGCCAGCAGCCGCGGUAAUACGAAGGGUGCAAGCGUUAUCCGGAUUCAUUGGGUUUAAAGGGUGCGUAGGCGGAGCGUUAAGUCAGUGGUGAAAUCCUGCAGCUUAACUGUAGGCUUGCCAUUGAUACUGGCGCUCUUGAGUGCGCUUGAAGUGGGCGGAAUGUGCCGUGUAGCGGUGAAAUGCUUAGAUAUGGCACAGAACACCAAUUGCGAAGGCAGCUCACUAAGGCGAUACUGACGCUGAGGCACGAAAGCGUGGGGAUCGAACAGGAUUAGAAACCCGGGUAGUCC
Molecule: ribosomal RNA, 445 nt
Filed under: uncultured bacterium
Lineage: Bacteria
Description: partial 16S ribosomal RNA
Rfam family: Bacterial small subunit ribosomal RNA
Source: RNAcentral